GACGAACGCUGGCGGCGUGCUCAACACAUGCAAGUCGAACGGAAAGGCCCCUUUGGGGGUACUCGAGUGGCGAACGGGUGAGUAACACGUGAGUAACCUGCCCUUGACUUCGGGAUAACUUCAGGAAACUGGGGCUAAUACCGGAUAGGAAUCCUUGCUGCAUGGUGGGGGUUGGAAAGCUUCGGCGGUUUUGGAUGGACUCGCGGCUUAUCAGCUUGUUGGUGGGGUAGUGGCUUACCAAGGCUUUGACGGGUAGCCGGCCUGAGAGGGCGACCGGCCACAUUGGGACUGAGAUACGGCCCAGACUCCUACGGGAGGCAGCAGUGGGGAAUAUUGCACAAUGGGCGGAAGCCUGAUGCAGCAACGCCGCGUGCGGGAUGACGGCCUUCGGGUUGUAAACCGCUUUCAGCAGGGGCGAAGCUUGUGGUGACGGUACCUGCAGAAGAAGCACCGGCUAACUACGUG
Molecule: ribosomal RNA, 465 nt
Filed under: uncultured bacterium
Lineage: Bacteria
Description: partial 16S ribosomal RNA
Rfam family: Bacterial small subunit ribosomal RNA
Source: RNAcentral